GACGAACGCUGGCGGCGUGCCUAAUACAUGCAAGUGGGACGCAAGGAAACACACUGUGCUUGCACACCGUGUUUUCUUGAGUCGCGAACGGGUGAGUAACGCGUAGGUAACCUGCCUAUUAGCGGGGGAUAACUAUUGGAAACGAUAGCUAAUACCGCAUAAUAUUAAUUAUUGCAUGAUAAUUGAUUGAAAGAUGCAAGCGCAUCACUAGUAGAUGGACCUGCGUUGUAUUAGCUAAUUGGUAAGGUAAGAGCUUACCAAGGUGACGAUACAUAGCCGACCUGAGAGGGUGAUCGGCCACACUGGGACUGAGACACGGCCCAGACUCCUACGGGAGGCAGCAGUAGGGAAUCUUCGGCAAUGGACGAAAGUCUGACCGAGCAACGCCGCGUGAGUGAAAAAGGUUUUCGGAUCGUAAAGCUCUGUUGUAAGUCAAGAACGUGUGUGAGAGUGGAAAGUUACACAGUGACGGUAGCUACCAGAAAGGG
This 488-nucleotide ribosomal RNA is filed under the name Streptococcus mutans. RNAcentral describes it as "bacterial SSU rRNA". It matches the Rfam family "Bacterial small subunit ribosomal RNA", at positions 28 to 492 of the family's 1533-position model. The record is from RNAcentral. Lineage: Bacteria; Bacillati; Bacillota; Bacilli; Lactobacillales; Streptococcaceae.